Phytophthora nicotianae (black shank of tobacco agent) is the source of this 69-nucleotide transfer RNA. It matches the Rfam family "tRNA". Rfam says of the family: Transfer RNA (tRNA) molecules are approximately 80 nucleotides in length. The record is from Rfam. Lineage: Eukaryota; Oomycota; Peronosporomycetes; Peronosporales; Peronosporaceae.
GACAACGAAGCUCAUUGGUAGAGCGCAGAGUCUUCUCUGAGGUUGCUGGUUCGAUUCCAGCCGUUGUCU